RNAcentral lists this ribosomal RNA (377 nucleotides) under uncultured eukaryote. Its description in RNAcentral is "partial 18S ribosomal RNA". It matches the Rfam family "Eukaryotic small subunit ribosomal RNA", at positions 592 to 976 of the family's 1831-position model. The record is from RNAcentral.
CAAUAGCGUAUAUUAAAGUUGUUGCAGUUAAAAAGCUCGUAGUUGGAUUUCUGGAUUGGCAUGGGUGGUCCACCUCUGGUGAGCACUACUCGGCCGAUCCUUCCUCUCGAAGACUGCGUGUGCCCUUAACUGGGUGUGCGCAGGAGUCGGGACCUUUACUUUGAAAAAAUUAGAGUGUUCAAAGCAGGCUUCCGCUUGAAUACAUUAGCAUGGAAUAAUGGAAUAGGACUCUGGUUCUAUUUUGUUGGUUUCUAGGACCGGAGUAAUGAUUAAUAGGGAUAGUUGGGGGCAUUAGUAUUUAAUUGUCAGAGGUGAAAUUCUUAGAUUUAUGAAAGACUAACUUCUGCGAAAGCAUUUGCCAAGGAUGUUUUCAUUAA